Molecule: transfer RNA, 82 nt
Filed under: Chlorobiota bacterium
Lineage: Bacteria; Pseudomonadati; Chlorobiota
Description: tRNA-Leu
Rfam family: tRNA
About the family: Transfer RNA (tRNA) molecules are approximately 80 nucleotides in length. Their secondary structure includes four short double-helical elements and three loops (D, anti-codon, and T loops). Further hydrogen bonds mediate the characteristic L-shaped molecular structure. tRNAs have two regions of fundamental functional importance: the anti-codon, which is responsible for specific mRNA codon recognition, and the 3' end, to which the tRNAs corresponding amino acid is attached (by aminoacyl-tRNA synthetases). tRNAs cope with the degeneracy of the genetic code in two manners: having more than one tRNA (with a specific anti-codon) for a particular amino acid; and 'wobble' base-pairing, i.e. permitting non-standard base-pairing at the 3rd anti-codon position.
Source: RNAcentral
GCGGAUGUGGCGAAAUUGGUAGACGCGCUAGACUUAGGAUCUAGUGCCGCGAGGCGUGAAGGUUCGAGUCCUUUCAUCCGCA